GUGCUCACUUUGGCAGCACAUAUACUAAAAUUAGAAUAAUACAGAGAAGAUUAGCAUGGAUGACAGGUAGAUUUGUGAAGCAUUCCAUAUUUUU
Molecule: small nuclear RNA, 94 nt
Filed under: Catagonus wagneri (Chacoan peccary)
Lineage: Eukaryota; Metazoa; Chordata; Mammalia; Artiodactyla; Tayassuidae
Source: RNAcentral